RNAcentral lists this long non-coding RNA (364 nucleotides) under Androctonus crassicauda. The record is from RNAcentral. Lineage: Eukaryota; Metazoa; Arthropoda; Arachnida; Scorpiones; Buthidae.
AUAAAAUCAGAAUUAAUUUUUUAAUCCUUUUUUUAUAGUUUUAUUUAAAUCACUUUGGUUUGACAUCUACACAUGUCACAUAGGCAUAAUUAGAUCCUGAUAUCUAUAUAUGAUGAAGAUACUCAAGGGAUUAAAUGACCACUGCCCUAGCACGUAAGGCUUAUGAGCAGGUUAUAGAUAUAGACUGGAAUGGGGCGGACCUAGUUAGACCUCUUCAUGAUUGUUUAGGACUCACUACCAUAGAAGCUAUACAUUUGGAAAAGAUGAAAUGCUCCCAUGACGUGAUCAAUGAUAAUGAUCACCUCUUAUUUCCUCCUUCUUGGAAGUGGUGUGCAACCAACAACCUGUAGACAAAUUAUGACUU